Archocentrus centrarchus (flier cichlid) is the source of this 193-nucleotide long non-coding RNA. RefSeq lists it as uncharacterized. NCBI's taxonomy places the organism in Eukaryota, Metazoa, Chordata, Actinopteri, Cichliformes, Cichlidae. The record is from RefSeq and is a predicted model, not a curated record. The transcript has 3 exons.
GGCUGUACUACAGGUCGUAAUUACUCUCAGCCUCCCCCAAUCAUGCACAGAAAGACUCCCUUUCCAUUUUCCUCACAGCCCAGCAAAUGGCAGCAACACAGGAUUCAAACGGAUCAACACUACACUCACAGAACCUCCUUUUCACCACUAUGCUCAUCUGCUCGGUGCAUCAUUUGCGUCAGAGAUGGUAAGU